This 254-nucleotide ribosomal RNA is filed under the name uncultured bacterium. RNAcentral describes it as "partial 16S ribosomal RNA". It matches the Rfam family "Bacterial small subunit ribosomal RNA", at positions 524 to 776 of the family's 1533-position model. The record is from RNAcentral.
UACGGGGGGAGCAAGCGUUGUUCGGAUUUACUGGGCGUAAAGGGCGCGUAGGCGGUCGUGACAAGUCACUUGUGAAAUCUCCGGGCUUAACUCGGAACGGUCAAGUGAUACUGUCGGACUAGAGUACAGAAGGGGCAACUGGAAUUCUCGGUGUAGCGGUGAAAUGCGUAGAUAUCGAGAGGAACACCUGCGGCGAAGGCGGCGCUCUGGGCCGGUACUGACACUGAGGAGCGAAAGCGUGGGUAGCAAACAGG